GCGGAUGUAGCUCAGUUGGUUAGAGCGCCUGGUUGUGGUUCAGGAGGUCGUGGGUUCAAUUCCCAUCAUUCGCCCCA
Molecule: transfer RNA, 77 nt
Filed under: Candidatus Saccharimonadota bacterium
Lineage: Bacteria; Candidatus Saccharimonadota
Also listed under: 1 other name
Description: tRNA-His
Rfam family: tRNA
About the family: Transfer RNA (tRNA) molecules are approximately 80 nucleotides in length.
Source: RNAcentral